AUUGAACGCUGGCGGCAUGCUUUACACAUGCAAGUCGAACGGGUGUAGCAAUACACUAGUGGCGAACGGGUGAGUAAUGCAUCGGAACGUACCGUGUAAUGGGGGAUAACCCGGCGAAAGUCGGAUUAAUACCGCAUACGUCCUGAGGGAGAAGGCAGGGGAUCGUAAGACCUUGCGUUAUACGAGCGGCCGAUGUCGGAUGAGCUAGUUGGUGGGGUAAAGGCCCACCAAGGCGACGAUCCGUAGCGGGUCUGAGAGGAUGAUCCGACACACCGGGGCUGCGACGCGGCCCAGACGCCUACGGGAGGCAGCAGUGGGGAAUUUUGGACAAUGGGCGAAAGCCUGAUCCAGCCAUGCCGCGUGAGUGAAGAAGGCCUUCGGGUUGUAAAGCUCUUUUGUCCGGGAGCAAACCUUAGUACUUAAUACGUGCUGAGCUGAGAGUACCGGAAGAAUAAGCACCGGCUAACUACGUGCCAGCCGCCGCGGUAA
This 489-nucleotide ribosomal RNA is filed under the name uncultured bacterium. RNAcentral's name for it is "partial 16S ribosomal RNA". It matches the Rfam family "Bacterial small subunit ribosomal RNA", at positions 30 to 523 of the family's 1533-position model. The record is from RNAcentral.